AUAAGUGUGGUAUUCUAUCUCCGUCAUACGAUAUAAGUGUGGUAUUCUGAUCCGACCAUAAGAUAUAAGUAUGGUAUUUCAACCCCACCAUAGGAGAUAAGUAUGGUAUUCUGGCCUGACCACAAGAUAAAAAUAUGGUCAUAGUAAAAGGCUGAUGAGUUAUGUGGUAUUUAUUUUGAUUAGAUUUUUUAGUAUGAUUAAUUUUGAAAUCAAAUAUAUGAUUAUGUAUAUGAAUAUUUGAAAGAUACUAACAUUACUGAAU
This 262-nucleotide long non-coding RNA is filed under the name Elaeis guineensis (African oil palm). RNAcentral's name for it is "long non-coding RNA (EGUI_LNC036247)". The record is from RNAcentral. Lineage: Eukaryota; Viridiplantae; Streptophyta; Magnoliopsida; Arecales; Arecaceae.